Molecule: long non-coding RNA, 3571 nt
Filed under: Sus scrofa (pig)
Lineage: Eukaryota; Metazoa; Chordata; Mammalia; Artiodactyla; Suidae
Description: lncRNA (ENSSSCG00060025556.1)
Source: RNAcentral
UUUCUUUCUUUUUUUUUUUUUUUUUUAAUAUUUAAAUUUUUUUGGUCUUUUUGUCUUUCUAGGGCCACACCCUCAGCACAUGGAGGUUCCCAGGCUAGGGGACGAAUUGGAGCUGUUGCUGCCUGCCUAUGCCAGAGCCACAGCAAUGCCAGAUCCCAGCAGCGUCUGCGACUUACACCACAGCUCAUGGCAACACCGGAUACUUAACCCAUUGAGCGAGGCCAGAGAUCGAACCUGCCAGCUCAUGGUUCCUAGUCGGAUUCAUUCCCGCUGUGCCACGAUGGGAACUCCCCAAGCAUUUCAUGUUUUGUCAUCUUUGGUUUUGUCUUGUGAUAUUAGUACAUACAAUUACUUCUUAAUCUGCUAUUUAGAUGGGUUUUUAUUCCUAACUGCUCUUGUCUAACGUUGACAAACAAGAUUUCUUUGUCAUACCUCUGGAGAUUAUGUAAUCAUAGCAGAUUACAUAGGCAUGGGCCAGACUUGGCAUAUGUUAGAAAUGUUUCUUUUUGGAGUUCCUGUCAUGGGUCGGCCAGUUAAGAACCUGAGUAGUAUUCAUGAGGAUUCGUGUUUGACCCCUGGCCUUGCUCACUGGGUUAAGUAUGCGUUGCUGCGAGCCGUGGAAUAGGUCACAGACACAGGUCGGAUCUGGUGUGGCUGUGGCUGUGGCUGUGACAUAGGCCAGUGACUGCAGCUCUGAUUGGACCCCUAGCCUGGGAAGUUUCAAAUGCUGCAGGAGUGGCCCUAAAAAAAAAAAAAAAUUUUUUUGUUAUUUAUUAAUUGUAAGAGAUAGAGGGGGGGAAUUAAUUUUUACAGAUAAAGACUAGACUGUUGGGCCAGUCUUUAUUUUCAGGGCUUUUGAGGAAAUGUUAGCAUCUGAAUUGUCAAAAACAAUUACCUUUUCAACAGAAAAAAGUAUAGCGGGUCAACCAAUCCUUGCUUUUUUUCUCUUGCUUGUUAUCCUUUAAAGGUAUAGCUAGUCAUUUCCACAUGUUAUUAUAUGACUUGUUCACAUGUGACUGUCCAGACGCUGCUGCCGAAUGGCAGUCUUCUGUGUUGUUGAGUCUCCACCAUCUCUGUGAAGGGUGCAGAUCUGUGGCCUGGCUCUUUCGUUUAGCCUGGGAGAGGUGAGGUGAGGCUGUGUUGGAAAGAUUUCCAGGGGGGAUUGGGGUGGGUAAGGAGAAGCUGGCGUUGGCUGGUCCUGUAAAGUAUCCGCUCCCUGGGCAGACAAUGUGCACAUUAACUAAAAAACUUCACUGGUAGCUGUGUGCAGGCCAGAAUCAGAAUGCGUGUCAGAAUCUGAGUGUCAUGGUGGGUUUUGCCUUCAUCCCUGCGGUGGGGAGCCCCGUCCUUCCUGUGGGGCAGCAGGUGUGGCGUGGAAUCAGACAUGCGAGCCCUCCGAGGCUUUAUUGUGCUGAGGGCUCGGCAGGGAGAUGCCAGGGGAGUAAGGUGGUUCCCGUCCUUGUGGCUGAAUGACACAUGAGGAACUAGGGACAAAAGGGAUGCUGGCGUGUGAAGAAAGCCUAAUAGUAGGCUUCUGGACAGGUGUUCACUUUAACAAAAGGCUUAAUCAAUCCAGGAGGAAACCUUGAAAACAAGUCUCUUGUCCCUCUCCCCCCAUCCCUCCUACCUAGAGAUAACAGUGGACACUCUACUUGCUUGGUGUUGACCUACAAAAGUGACAUUUCUUAGGAUUCAACCUAAUAAUCACAAUAGGGGCAUAGUUCUGUACCCUUCCUUAAAAAAAACUAAUUAAAAUUUAGAAUGUUCAUUAAUAUACGUUGGCCUGGUUUGUAUUUAUGUAUUUUGAAUGUGCAUUUUGCAGUAGGGCAGAGUUUUUCCCUUCUUGAGCUUUUGGCUGAGAGAGAUGCAUCGGGAGGAGAGAGUGGGCCUCUGACCUUGAAAAUCUGUCAGUGUGGCAGACCCUGGAUGCAGGCUGUCCCCAUCUCAACAUGAUUCAUUUGUGAUGGUGGUUGGCUUUGGAAUUGAGGUGAGAGGUGGGACUGAGCACAGUGAGGGAGCUGGCGUGGGGAGCAGUGCUGCCCACGUGGUUUCAGGUUGCAGACGCAGCUCAGAUCCCUCGUUGCUGUGGCUCUGGCGUAGGCUGACAGCUAUAGCUCCGAUUAGACCCCUAGCCUGGGAACCUCCAUAUGCCAAAGGAGUGGCCCAAGAAAUAUGGCAAAAAGACCAAAAAAACCCUUCCCCUCCCCCACAUAGAAGAAGAGCAGUUGGGGGAGGUGCCCCGGGAAAGACGUCCAGUCUCUGAAGUUGCACCAGGUGGGGCCCAAGAGCCGGACCUGCAGCCAGGGCGGCCUCUCCUCUUGUCCCCUGCUCACCAGGCUGCUGGAUAUGAUGCGUCUGAAGGCCUGGCAGGUGCCAGACAUCCUCCUGCUUUGAAUUCCGUGCAGAGAACACCCCCCUCGUCCACUGGGCCAAGUCCCCUUGCCCAGGCUUCCCUGCAUACACGGCGUGACCUUCCUGCACUGCUCCUGCCCACAGCCGUGGUGUCCAGCCCUGGCCCACCUCCUGCACUGCGGCCAGACUCCGGGCUCAGCAUCCUCCUGCUUUGCACUCAAUGCAGGGAGUGUGGCCUGGCCUUCCUUGCCAUUCAACAAGGACCACACGGGGCUCACUUGAUUGUGACACUUCUUGCUGAGCAGCCUGAAGCACAGAUGCUUUCAGAUAAAGUUGGGGGAUUUCCCACACCCCCUGAGGACCAGGCUGGGAUCCUACCAGCAGGUCGACCCUCUGGUUUUUGUGAGGCUCCCUUGUUGCUGCUGGUGCUGUGGUUGGAGGGGAGGCCCCAGGGGGCUGGAGGCAGUGGUCCUCGCCUCUGGGCUGGGUGGGAGCCUGGCAGGUCUUUGGCCUUCUUCCCUGACUCCUGGUCCUCCUCUGGCCGAGAGCUGCAUGGGGAUCAGAGGCUUCUCUGCCCAUGAGCCCUGUGCCGAGGCCCAAGCCUGCAGUUUCACACUCAUUUUGUCCUCAGAAGGUUUCCUGGCUCUGAAUCUCCGAUUCAGUCCCCUCCUGGUGGCGAAGCUGCAGGGCUAAGACUAGCAGCAGAUGUGCCCCAGGCCUCUGUCUGUGGCCGUGGUCCUGUCCAUGGUCCAUCGGGUCUCUUCCAGCCAGUUGCUUGGGAGAAUUUUAUGAUGUUUGGUGAUAUAAAACCGCCCUGCACCCCUACUGUGCUGCCUGAUGAUAUUAACUAACACUGCUAACUACACUUACAGACAGCACCAAACAGCAGUGCUAAUACUAAUGAUACUAACAGUGCUAAAUAACUAUGCUAACAAUACUAACUAUGCUAACUCAUACUAACUACAAUUACUACCAUUGCUAACUGUGCUUAUUAGCUACCUUGUUUUAUUGCAGUUGCUUUUUUGAGCUUUAAAAGUAACAUGCAUUUGGAGUUCCCACUGUGACAAAGUGGGUUAAGAAUCCAGCUGCAGUGGCUUGGGUCUGCAGAGGCUCGGGUUCAAUCCCCAACCCUACUCUGUGGGUUAAAGGUUCGGCCUAGGCCAUAGCUGUGACUCAGAUUCAGUCCCUGGCCUGGAACUUCCAUAUGCCACUGGUGUGG